Molecule: ribosomal RNA, 301 nt
Filed under: uncultured bacterium
Lineage: Bacteria
Description: partial 16S ribosomal RNA
Rfam family: Bacterial small subunit ribosomal RNA
Source: RNAcentral
CAGUCGCCGCGGUAAAACGUAGGUGGCAAGCGUUGUCCGGAAUUAUUGGGCGUAAAGGGCACGCAGGCGGUGACUUAAGUGAGGUGUGAAAGCCCCGGGCUUAACCUGGGAAUUGCAUUUCAUACUGGGUCGCUAGAGUACUUUAGGGAGGGGUAGAAUUCCACGUGUAGCGGUGAAAUGCGUAGAGAUGUGGAGGAAUACCGAAGGCGAAAGCAGCCCCUUGGGAAUGUACUGACGCUCAUGUGCGAAAGCGUGGGGAGCAAACAGGAUUAGAUACCCCUGUAGUCCCUGUCUCUUAUAC